GUUGAUAUGGCCUAGUUGGAUUUUGGUCCGAAAGGACGUUGGGUUUUGGUCCGACGGGGCGUGGGGUUCAAAUCCCACUGUCAACA
This 86-nucleotide transfer RNA is filed under the name Hordeum vulgare. RNAcentral's name for it is "tRNA-OTHER". It matches the Rfam family "tRNA". From Rfam's summary of the family: Transfer RNA (tRNA) molecules are approximately 80 nucleotides in length. Their secondary structure includes four short double-helical elements and three loops (D, anti-codon, and T loops). RNAcentral also lists the same sequence under 1 other name. The record is from RNAcentral. Lineage: Eukaryota; Viridiplantae; Streptophyta; Magnoliopsida; Poales; Poaceae.